AUGGGAAGCAGGUGGACAAGAACCCAUCCCAAGACAGGACCAUAUGUGAGCAAGCCCCUACACGCGCUCCAUCUGACUUUACUUACGGAACACAAAUUCAAAGAUAGAAUUAUUAAGAACUUUAAAACAAGCGCCUGUAGGACAUUACACUCCGAGCAAGGGCCCUUAGAAUCCCCCCGGAUGAUUGCACUGGUUGCCCACCCGGGAAGCCAGCCCUGCUCUCCGCUUCACCCCUUUGUAAGCCGUAAAAGCUUGGGAAUGUUACUUAACCUCUGUAAGCGUGACUUUCUCCAUCUACAAAGUCGUGAUGAUGAAGGUACCCAUGUCAAAGGGAUGAUGAAACAUUUCUGGAUUUGCCUGCUUGCUUUUCUACGGAGGGGCACCCGAGAGCAAAAAACGAGAGAGCCGAGUUUUAUCGGCCAGGCGGCCCGUGCUUAAAGGUGACAUUCGAGAGAACAAUCGCUAGGUUGUUUGGUCACCUUUGCUGUGGUCAAAGAAGGAGGAGACUCAACAGCUGUUUCUUUCUCCCUUCAUUUUUCCAACAAAGAAGCUUCAUGAGAACAUUAACACCGAAAGAAAAUUGUGUUCACUGCAGGACUUUUCAAGGAUCGGUGGAAAGAUUUAUGUAAACAAAUUAUUCAGUUCUUCCUUUGGUGACCUUGGUCCUAAGAGUGAAUGAGAUGAUCCUAUGGCUUUUUGCCCUUUCCUCAAUACAGAAGCUGCAGACUGCGCUCAGCAAGACCUCACCAAAUGGAGGAAAAUUAAAGAGAGAAAUGGUCCAUGGUGUAUUCUUAACCGCCAUAAAUUGGCGUCAUUUUGGCCACCAUCCAGGAGAGAGACACCAGCCUACAGAAACAGAGAAAGAAGAUCAGAAGCCGAUGGAAGGAAGGGAGGUUGGUCGUGUUGCUGUCCUCAGGAAGGUAGAGGGAAACCGAGCAGGAAUUAACAGGAGUGAAUAGUCAGCAAGGGUCUUUUACAGGAAAUAAAUCUAUCUACUGGGGUUUUCCAACAAAUGCAGAAUUCAGCGUAGCAGAUCAAAAGAAAGAAAGGAAGGAAGGAAGAAAGAAAAAGAAAAAGAAAGAAGAGAAUAAUUAUGUCCAGAAUUGUCCCAAUUGUCCUGCUCAGUGCAAACACACACACACACACACACACACACACACUCACACACACACCCUGCAGCCUAUAAUCCUCCCUCAUGCCCCUAUCCUGUUGAUCUUUCUUCACUUAAAAAUUAUCGGCAAAGAAUUUAUUCAUUUGGGAGAAUUCCAGGCACUACAUUUAUGUUCAGUUCAAAUGAAAUGGGAUCCAGACUUUUCAAACUGUGCUGUUCUGCAGAUAAAACACAAAGGCAGGACCUCAUUAUCUGGAGACAUGGUCCUUUCUUUUUCCUGUUGCCUUUUGUUUCUAAGCAAUUUUAGGCUUGUUUGGAAAGUCUCAUAACAGGGGCAGAACAUUUUUCACCACAUCUAUUUCAGGAGGGUUUUUAGUUAGGAAUAAUGAAUUUACCUCUAAACAGAUGGAAGAGUUUUACUAAAGCUAGAAACGACACUUUUCCUAAUAUCCCCGAUAGGCUGAUCUUAAUCCUCUCAUUGUUAAAAAUGCUUGGUCUAUGAGAGUCUUAUUUAUGUGCCAAGUGUCUUUAUUAAAUCAUGAAAUUAACACAGAAAAAAAUCCUAUUACAAUGGGUUUCUGUAUAUGAUCAAAAGUUGUUCAUGGUCCUGCUGAUAGACUACUUAUUCCAAAAUUUAAAAAGGUGAAAUUCCAAUAGAGCCCAAUGCUUGGCUGAGGUUUUAAAAAUUCAUUGUAAAAUGGCCGGAGGGGUUACGAGGCCCCCAGCCAAGAAAAGACCCACGUUUUAUCAAGGCAGUAGUCCCUAACAAAAAGAAAACUGUGAAAGAUAGGCCUCCCAUUCACCCAUACAAAUGAAUUCCUGGCAACAUUGUAAUAUGAUUUGACCUGUAGAAACACAACAAGUCUCUGAUAUCCACUUUGAUUUUUAAGAACCUAAGAGGCAAAUUCAAAGACAAAUUGCACUAGUGAAUCCAGGGUUGUGGGAUGCUAAAAGAGUUUAAAAAGUCAAGAGAAGCAGUUUGGUAUGUUUGUAUAUUGGAUUUUGAAAUUGAACUAAAAAUAUAUUUUUUUGAAUGCAGAAGUAGUACAUGUUCGUCACAGGAGAAAAAAUUCCCUCAAUACCCUUCUCAUUGAGAAAGUACACUUGUUUGGGGUUUCCAAACUCGAUUCUUGCCUUUAUAUGAAAAUGAGUGUUAAUGGCUCUGUGUUAGGGCUUAGUCUAGAAGCGCAGGUCCUGAUGGACAUUAGGAGGACCUAAAAAGAGAAAAAGAGAUCCAACUUGGAGGGGUCAAGGUCUGUGGCCUGUUAGGGGGACUUGGAGGGCUCUGUUAACCACCUAAGGGAAGGCAACAGGAGGUCCAGAUGAAGCAGAAGACACGGGAGGACCAUGCAUGAUGGAAGAUCUUAGGUAGAACCAACAGGUAGCAGACAAGUUGGGACAGACAUGGCUGAUGUCAGACAGAGAAACGGAGCCUGCAAAGGGCCUUGACCCCGGAGAUGCGUUUAAAAUCCUUUAGCCUUUCAAAGAUGGUUAACCCAAAUUACUUUUCUUGCUUGUUCCAGAUGCCUUAAUAUCUCAUACCAUUACCAAGGACCUGCCAUGUUAAAAAAUAAACAUUUGGGAAGCGAGGGAGAUUUUUCUCUUUUCUUUUUAAUUGCAAUUGUGAUGUGCUCAUGGCCUGACAUUACAUGAGGUCUGGCUUAGAUUAGCCCCUGGCUGAGAGAUCCCUGCUAAUUUAGUGACUGCAAUUAUGCCUGCCUCUAACCACGGUCUGCUUUGUGUGGGACAUGCCCUUGGAGUUGUUUUUCUCCACCAGAAGCAGUGGUUAUGUUGGCCCUCUAUACGUUUUUGCCCCAUUGGUGAGACAACUGGCUAGGAUUAGGGGUACGAUCUGUGACCCUGAAACAGAGUGAAACUAAUUGGCAGUGAGGGAGCUGAUUCCAUGUAGAGCGCGAGCACUGUAAGUCUCUCAUAAAAGACCCCAAGUGCCACAAGUGUGCACCUGCCUUCCAGCCCUAAUGAUUCUUCCAAUAAAAGAAGCAAAAAGGAACAAAAUACAAAUGUUUUUUGAACACCACUGCCUUUGCUUGGGGUCUCACGCAGCCACAGGAUGCAGGUAGGGGUAUGUGUGUCCCUGAGAAUCCAGGAUGGCCAGCAGCCUUUGCUUGCAACCUGCAGAGGGUGGCAAAGAGGAAACGUAGCAUAAUUUAGAGCAGAAAGGGUGGGUGAGUGGAUGAGGGGAGAGAGGCAGCAGGGGGCGGGGGUGUGUGGAUCUCCUCUCCUGCUCUAUUAAUCAACCGCAGAAGCUGCAACUUUAGGAUUUGCACAAUUGGACUCCAG
This 3412-nucleotide long non-coding RNA is filed under the name Canis lupus familiaris (dog). Its description in RNAcentral is "lncRNA (ENSCAFG00000048801.2)". Lineage: Eukaryota; Metazoa; Chordata; Mammalia; Carnivora; Canidae. The record is from RNAcentral.